RNAcentral lists this ribosomal RNA (1236 nucleotides) under metagenome. RNAcentral's name for it is "bacterial LSU rRNA". It matches the Rfam family "Bacterial large subunit ribosomal RNA", at positions 1564 to 2810 of the family's 2925-position model. The record is from RNAcentral.
UGAUGACGAGACGCUAAGGCGUUGAAGCAGUGUAUGUCAGACUUCCAAGAAAAGCUCGCAAUGUCACAAAUAAAGAAUGCCUGUACCAUAACCGACACAGGUGGGUAGGUAGAGUAUACUAAGGGGCGCGAGAUAACUCUCUCUAAGGAACUCGGCAAAAUGACUCCGUAACUUCGGGAGAAGGAGUGCCUUAUUAUAAGGUUGCAAUAACAAGAUCCAAGCAACUGUUUAUCAAAAACACAGGUCUCCGCUAAGUCGUAAGACGAUGUAUGGGGGCUGACGCCUGCCCAGUGCCAGAAGGUUAAAGAAGUUGGUUAGUGUAUGCGAAGCUGAUGACUGAAGCCCUGGUGAACGGCGGCCGUAACGAUAACGGUCCUAAGGUAGCGAAAUUCCUUGUCGGGUAAGUUCCGACCCGCACGAAAGGCGUAAUGAUUUGGAUACUGUCUCGGAGAGAGGCUCGGUGAAAUAGACUUGUCUGUGAAGAUGCGGACUACCUGCACCAGGACAGAAAGACCCUAUGAAGCUUUACUGUAACUUGAAAUUGGAAUUGGACUUUGCUUGCGCAGUAUAGGUGGGAAGCGUUGAAAAUAUUCUUGCGGGAGUAUUGGAGCUAUCAGUGAGAUACCACUCUUGUAAUGUUAGAUUUCUAACUUUGAACCAUAAUCUGGUCAAAGAACAGUUUCAGGUGGGCAGUUUGACUGGGGCGGUCGCCUCCCAAAUGGUAACGGAGGCGUACAAAGGUUUCCUCUGAACGGAUAGAAAUCGUAUCUAGAGUGUAAAGGCAUAAGGAAGCUUGACUGUGAGACCUACAAGUCGAGCAGGGACGAAAGUCGGUCUUAGUGAUCUGACGGUACUGAGUGGAAAGGCCGUCACUCAACGGAUAAAAGUUACUCUAGGGAUAACAGGCUGAUCUCCCCCAAGAGUUCACAUCGACGGGGAGGUUUGGCACCUCGAUGUCGGCUCAUCGCAUCCUGGGGCGGUAGUACGUCCCAAGGGUUGGGCUGUUCGCCCAUGAAAGCGGUACGCGAGCUGGGUUCAGAACGUCGUGAGACAGUUCGGUCCAUAUCCGGUGUAGGCGCUAGAAUAUUGAGAGGAGCCUUCUUUAGUACGAGAGGACCGAGAAGGACACACCGCUGGUGUACCAGUUAUCGUGCCAACGGUAAACGCUGGGUAGCUAUGUGUGGAGUGGAUAACCGCUGAAAGCAUCUAAGUGGGAAGCCCACCUCGAGAUGAGUA